Molecule: small nuclear RNA, 18 nt
Filed under: Arabidopsis thaliana (thale cress)
Lineage: Eukaryota; Viridiplantae; Streptophyta; Magnoliopsida; Brassicales; Brassicaceae
Description: snRNA_10483
Source: RNAcentral
GCAAUUUCCUGGUGUAGA